RNAcentral lists this ribosomal RNA (253 nucleotides) under uncultured bacterium. RNAcentral describes it as "partial 16S ribosomal RNA". It matches the Rfam family "Bacterial small subunit ribosomal RNA", at positions 524 to 776 of the family's 1533-position model. The record is from RNAcentral.
UACGGAGGAUGCGAGCGUUAUCCGGAUUCAUUGGGUUUAAAGGGUACGUAGGUGGCCCUGUAAGUCAGUGGUGAAAACCUGCCGCUUAACGGUAGGCGUGCCAUUGAUACUGCGGGGCUUGAGUACAGAUGAGGUAGGCGGAAUGUGUAGUGUAGCGGUGAAAUGCAUAGAUAUUACACAGAACUCCGAUUGCGAAGGCAGCUUACUAAACUGCAACUGACGCUGAUGUACGAAAGCGUGGGUAGCGAACAGG